AAAGAACCUCCUCCCCCAGCCCCCGGGUCUGUAUCUAAGACAAAUAGCUGAUAUAGGCUAUUCAUCAUUUAUAACAUCUAACCAUCUCAUGAUUACUAGCGACCGAUUCAUUGAGAUUUUAAUGGAUUCUUCUAAAUUCACUAAAAUAUAGGUGUCCUCAAUAGCUUGUGGAUUAUAAAGAUUUCAUUAAUGAAAGGAUUUCAAGAGAUUUGGAUGGAUUUCAAGCUUAGAAGUACACAUAACGAACUCUUUUGAAAUUUCACUAUUUUUAAUGAGAUUAUUGUGAAUUCUGUAAAAAUCGGUUCAAAUUCACAAAAUUCAUCACUAUUUACAAUUUUUUUUUAUUUAAAAUAUAUUAAAAUACUAAUUGAGGAAACCCAACUUAACUUUUGGAAAUUCUUUUAACAGCUUGAAAUGGAGGAUGGGGAUGAGAUAGAUGCUAUGCUGCAUCAGACUGGAGGUGCUGCUGCUGCUUAGUUAGGGUGAUUAAGUCUUUGUUAACGCCUUGGAGGAAGUUGUAAUACAAAAUUUCAUAAUCAUUCUAGCUUGCUGUUACUAUUGACAUGAUUUUGAACGUGUUCCAAGUACUUGAUCUACAACUAUAUUUAAGUUGCUUUGAUUUUCAUUUCCUUCCGAAAAAGUAUGUACUGUUUACUCUCUGAUUCUCGUGGUGAUAUUGGGACAUAAAAAAGAGGGAUGGAGUUUCUUUCUUGUUCCAUGUAAUGGUCUAUAUGGGAGGUUGCACGAAAUGCAAUUAAAAGCCCUUGUUUGAACCACAAUAUUUUCAUGAGUAUGCAUUUUUGAAGAAUGUAUUGAUGGAAAGUGUGUGGUUAAAAAAUAAGAAAAAAUGUUGAAUUUGCG
Molecule: long non-coding RNA, 861 nt
Filed under: Olea europaea subsp. europaea
Lineage: Eukaryota; Viridiplantae; Streptophyta; Magnoliopsida; Lamiales; Oleaceae
Source: RNAcentral